Molecule: microRNA precursor, 52 nt
Filed under: Pteropus alecto (black flying fox)
Lineage: Eukaryota; Metazoa; Chordata; Mammalia; Chiroptera; Pteropodidae
Description: mir-1302 microRNA precursor family
Rfam family: mir-1302 microRNA precursor family
Source: Rfam by way of RNAcentral
UUUUUAGUAUAAGUAUGCCCCAUGAAAUAAUUGGGGCAUGCUUAUACUAAAG